UGGGGAAUAUUGGACAAUGGGCGAAAGCCUGAUCCAGCCAUGCCGCGUGUGUGAAGAAGGUCUUCGGAUUGUAAAGCACUUUAAGUUGGGAGGAAGGGCAGUAAGCGAAUACCUUGCUGUUUUGACGUUACCGACAGAAUAAGCACCGGCUAACUCUGUGCCAGCAGCCGCGGUAAUACAGAGGGUGCAAGCGUUAAUCGGAAUUACUGGGCGUAAAGCGCGCGUAGGUGGUUCGUUAAGUUGAAUGUGAAAGCCCCGGGCUCAACCUGGGAACUGCAUCCAAAACUGGCGGGCUAGAGUAGGGCAGAGGGUGGUGGAAUUUCCUGUGUAGCGGUGAAAUGCGUAGAUAUAGGAAGGAACACCAGUGGCGAAGGCGACCACCUGGGAUCAUACUGACACUGAGGUGCGAAAGAGUGGGGAGCAAACAGG
RNAcentral lists this ribosomal RNA (429 nucleotides) under Pseudomonadota bacterium. RNAcentral describes it as "Proteobacteria bacterium partial 16S ribosomal RNA". It matches the Rfam family "Bacterial small subunit ribosomal RNA", at positions 355 to 776 of the family's 1533-position model. The record is from RNAcentral. Lineage: Bacteria; Pseudomonadati; Pseudomonadota.